GAAGGGUCUUUCCUUCAUCACUGGCCUUCCAUCGUCCAUUCACGGGUGGAAGAACCAGUUUUUCUUUGUUUCUUCUUCUUCUCCCUGGGGCUUCUCUUCUCAUUGGGGCGUGCCCCGAACCGAGGCAAAUGAGAACAGCCGAGUGGAGGCGGACGACCGGGAGGACUUCCAUCGACUCAAGGACAUGUCAGUCCCGAAGUAGAGGGAGCUUGUUACCGAACAAGCCCUCUAUGAUGCUGGCCUGAGCCUGGUCCCCCGUCUAGGUAUCGCCCGAUCCAUCGGUUGUCUUUUUAUUUGGCAUUUGUUCUCGAGCAUAUACUGAUCC
RNAcentral lists this long non-coding RNA (325 nucleotides) under Elaeis guineensis (African oil palm). RNAcentral's name for it is "long non-coding RNA (EGUI_LNC080551)". The record is from RNAcentral. Lineage: Eukaryota; Viridiplantae; Streptophyta; Magnoliopsida; Arecales; Arecaceae.